UACGUAGGGUGCAAGCGUUAAUCGGAAUUACUGGGCGUAAAGAGCGCGCAGGCGGCUUGGCAAGUCGGGUGUGAAAUCCCGGGGCUCAACCCCGGGACUGCAUUCGAUACUGUCAGGCUUGAGGCCGGGAGAGGGUAGUGGAAUUCCCAGUGUAGCGGUGAAAUGCGUAGAUAUUGGGAGGAACACCAGUGGCGAAGGCGGCUACCUGGACCGGUUCUGACGCUGAUGCGCGAAAGCGUGGGUAGCAAACAGG
Molecule: ribosomal RNA, 253 nt
Filed under: uncultured bacterium
Lineage: Bacteria
Description: partial 16S ribosomal RNA
Rfam family: Bacterial small subunit ribosomal RNA
Source: RNAcentral